GCUGUUGUUGAUUUUUUGUGUGGUUGAUUAUUUAGGGUUUUUGUUUGCGUUUGGAAGAUUUAAGAGCAAGUGGUAGUGAUGGCAACACCGCUGCACCAAGCUCCAACUGCUGAUAUUGUAUGAAACCUUUUUUUCUUUGUUUUUUUUUCGUUGAUCUUUUUUCUGUUUCGAUUUGGGCUUUACAUCUUUGAUUGGGGUUUGAGGAAUUUCUUGGUUUAAAUUUUUGUAGGUUGGUAAUGCAUUUGUUCAUCAGUACUACCUUAUAUUGCACCAAUCGCCCCAGCUCGUUCACCGAUUUUAUCAGGAUAUUAGUAAACUUGGUCGCCCUGAAGAAAAUGGGGCUAUGAGUAUUACCACAACUAUGCAAGUGAGCGUCUCUUUCUCUCUUUUCAUUGGUUUUACAUGUAUGUGUAUGUGGUGUGCAUUUGUGUGUUUAUAUCUAUUGUUUCUUCUCUUAGCGACGCCUACGGUAUAGCUAGUUUGUGGUAACACAAUGUUUCAAAAUAAUGGAAUGAUUUUGUUUAAAUAGAGGGCUAGGUGAACUGAUUAGGAAAUUUAUUGUACCAUUUGCGGCUGAGAAUCUCUUAUGAAGUAGCAUAUGCAUGAGUUGAGUGUGGAAUUAGUUUGCACUUCUGAUUAGGAGAGUUGUUGAUUUUCUCAUUUCUGGUUGACACUUGGGCGCAGGCUAUCAAUGACAAGAUACUUGCACUUCAUUACGGAGAGUUCAGUGCUGAGAUCACCACUGUAGAUGCACAAGAAUCAUACAAUGGGGGUGUCAUUGUUCUCGUGACUGGUUAUUUGACUGGAAAGGACAGUGUGAGGCGGAAAUUUUCGCAGAGUUUCUUCCUGGCACCUCAAGACAAAGGCUACUUUGUCUUGAAUGAUGUCUUUAGGUAUGUAGAUGAUGCCUACCAUGUCGGGAGCCAGGCUACCACGAAUGAUGUUGAAGCCCCUAUUACUCCUGACCAAGGUAAUUAAAAAAAUCCAGAAUAUUUUCUAAAUUAAAGCAUUUUCUUUUCUCAAAUUAGAUGUUUAAGACGUUGUUUCUUUCUGCAGACCAUUCUCCUGUGCAGGAGAACCAUGUUUCUGAUCAAACAGCUAUUUCAUCAGAGGAAGUCAGCGGGGAAGAAGUGGACAAUCCCUCAGAGAAUGGAGAUGGUACUAUCGAAGAAGAGGAAGCACCAGUACCUGAGGUCGUUGAUGCAAUUCCAGAUGAUACGCAUGUGGCUGCCGAAUCCGACUCUAAAGUGGAAGAAGUGCCAAAGAAGUCAUAUGCUUCGAUUGUAAGUAGUUUAGUACACACUACCCUUCUUAACUUCUUACUGGACACUUGUGAUUGUCUUGCUUCAGUUAUUUCAUUUUUUGUUAUUUCUACAUCUAUGUGGUGGUUCAAGGUGAACGAGGGUGUUGGCAAAAAUGGUUUCUCUUGCCGUAUCUUAUCACCUAUCUAAAUUUGUUGAAUUACAUACAAAACACUAUUGUUACAGGUGAAGGUCAUGAAGGACAGUGCUUUGCCUGUAUCAUCUCCUCCUCCAGCUUCUCUGAGGUCCAUAAUGAAGAUCCAAGAGCAACCACCUGCUUCUGCAACAUCUCCAGCCCCAGCAUCUGAGAAACAAGUUACCAACUCAAAUGCUACUGAAAAUGGGAAUAACCAAGAGGGUAGGGCUUGUUCGGUUCUUGUGCUUCAGUAAUUUCUGAUGAUAUCUUUACUUUGUGCGAAAGUAGGUGCUGGCAUUGUUAUGUUUGAUCAAUUCAUGUUCAUAUGUUUGUUUAUGAACAGCUGAGGGUCCAUCUAUUUACCUAAAAGGACUGCCUCCAUCUGCUACUCAUGCUCUACUUGAGAAUGAGUUCAGGAAGUUUGGAACUAUAAGGGCUGGUGGUAUUCAAGUUAAAACCCAGAAGGUACAUUCAAGUUCAUUAUCCAUUGGAGUAUUGCUAAUUUUAUUUGCGACAAAUAAUUAUUCUUUCAUAUUUUGUGUGACAGGGAUUUUGUUUUGGCUUCGUGGAAUUUGAAGAGGAAAAUGCUGUGCAAAGUGCAAUUGAGGUAUGCAUAAGAUUUUGCUGCCAUGACCUUUUUUUUGUUUUUUCCCCCCCGGUGUCUUAUUACGUCGACUUUUUGCAUGUAAUGUGUAAGAAACAAGAAGCAUUUGUUAACUUACAUGCAGAUGGAGGCAUGAAGUGAAAUUUGAGGUUAUUUCUGUCAUGUGAUUAAUGCUUCUGUUACAUGUUGAGAGACUUUGUGGGGAUGCACUAUCUUUGUUAAUUUGCAUGCACUCAUUCGUUUAUUCUCUGGGAUUGUAUUUGUUGUUGAGAUCUUCGUUUAUUUAUUAAUUUCAGUUUGUGAUUUCUUUUCCUAUACCACGUAUAUGCAAAAUGUUAGACAAGAAUGAGGUAAUCGUUGAUUGAAAGAUGCAUGAAUAUGUUGUAAUCAUACAUGGUAUUUUUCAUCUCUUCAUUUAUGAUGGUGGUACAAUGUUGAAUGUUUUUAAAGUUUCUUCUGAAGAUGAGUUAUAUAUUAUCCUUAUUUGACAUGGUUUAAACAACCUUCAGUGCCAAAUUUUUUUAUGGCAAGGGAAUACUGGUGCAAUGGGGCUGCUUUGGCAUCACUUUAGUUUGUAGCUAGAUUCUCACCCUUUCUGAUGAGGGGAAGUCCAUUAAACAUCCUUGCAUUAGAUUUUUUUUCCCCCAAAUAUAUUUUAGCUUUUAAUAUAUAGUGUUGUCUGUAUUUAUGUUUCAGGCUUCGCCUAUUGUGAUUAGUGGGCACCGUGUAGUUGUUGAACCAAAGAAAUCUACUCGAGGCAAGUUGACUUUUAUGCUUAGAUUACUGGAUUCAUUUUUCUUGUUUUAUAAGUUUUGAAAGUGGUUGCUUUCUAUUGACAGGGGGCAAUAGGGGACGAUUUUCAUCCAGAGCUGGUAAUGGAUACAGGAAUGAGGGGACAAGAGGGCGUGGGAACUAUGGGGGUGGCAGAGGUUACGGCCGGGGUGAUUUUGGUAACAGGUCUGAGUUUGAAAAUAGAGGUGGCAUUAGGGGAGGAUUUUCAAACCGUGGAGGUGAUGGAUAUCAGAGGAAUGACAAUGGUGGUCGUGUAAACCGUGCUGGUAGGCUGGCUGUCAAUGUGACGGCUAAAAAUGUGGCACCACGUGUGUCUGCUCCUGCUUGAGGAAACCGUCCUUUUUUUUUUUUCNNNNNNNNNNNNNNNNNNNNNNNNNNNNNNNNNNNNNNNNNNNNNNNNNNNNNNNNNNNNNNNNNNNNNNNNNNNNNNNNNGGGGGGGGGGGUUGAUGGUGUUGGGGCAUUGGAGAGGAGGAUAAUUUCUAUUGUAGUUUAGUGAUUUGACAAGUGAUUUAAUAGCAUUUAGAGUUAAAGAUCAGGAUUCAUUUUCCAUUUGUGGAUGAGCUUCUGAAGUUUCUUGAGGAAUGACCUUGGCCCUUACCCACGUUUGCUGUAACUGAGUGGUCAUGGGUAUCUGGUCUACGAGUUUUUGUUUGGUAUACUUGUGUCAUAUGUCUAGUCUGCUGGGGAGAGAUAUUUUGGAACCUUUAUUUUAAACAAUGGAUGAUUAUCUAUGUUUUUCGGACAUGGUGAAUGAUAUAACAGUUAGGUUUCUAAUCUUGCUCAGCA
Molecule: long non-coding RNA, 3620 nt
Filed under: Citrus sinensis (sweet orange)
Lineage: Eukaryota; Viridiplantae; Streptophyta; Magnoliopsida; Sapindales; Rutaceae
Description: long non-coding RNA (CSIN_LNC002336)
Source: RNAcentral